AGUAGGAUAGGCGAAGCGUACGAUUGGAUUGUACGUCUAAGCAGUGAGAUUGAGUGUUAGGCAAAUCCGGCACUCUUAAGAUUGAGCUGUGAUGGGGAGAGGAAAUUGUUUCCUCGAGUCGUUGAUUUCACACUGCCGAGAAAAGCCUCUAGAUAGAGAUUAGGUGCCCGUACCGCAAACCGACACAGGUAGUCAAGAUGAGAAUUCUAAGGUGAGCGAGCGAACUCUCGUUAAGGAACUCGGCAAAAUGACCCCGUAACUUCGGGAGAAGGGGUGCUCUUUAGGGUGCAAGC
RNAcentral lists this ribosomal RNA (293 nucleotides) under Staphylococcus hominis. Its description in RNAcentral is "partial 23S ribosomal RNA". It matches the Rfam family "Bacterial large subunit ribosomal RNA", at positions 1476 to 1767 of the family's 2925-position model. Lineage: Bacteria; Bacillati; Bacillota; Bacilli; Caryophanales; Staphylococcaceae. The record is from RNAcentral.